AUUGAACGCUGGCGGCAUGCCUUACACAUGCAAGUCGAACGGCAGCACGGGUGCUUGCACCUGGUGGCGAGUGGCGAACGGGUGAGUAAUACAUCGGAACAUGUCCUGUAGUGGGGGAUAGCCCGGCGAAAGCCGGAUUAAUACCGCAUACGAUCUACGGAUGAAAGCGGGGGACCUUCGGGCCUCGCGCUAUAGGGUUGGCCGAUGGCUGAUUAGCUAGUUGGUGGGGUAAAGGCCUACCAAGGCGACGAUCAGUAGCUGGUCUGAGAGGACGACCAGCCACACUGGGACUGAGACACGGCACAGACUCCUACGGGAGGCAGCAGUGGGGAAUUUUGGACAAAGGGCGAAAGCCUGAUCCAGCAAUGCCGCGUGUGUGAAGAAGGCCUUCGGGUUGUAAAGCACUGUUGUCCGGAAAGAAAUACUUGGCUCUAAUACAGUCGGGGGAUGACGGUACCGGAAGAAUAAGCACCGGCUAACUACGUG
RNAcentral lists this ribosomal RNA (486 nucleotides) under uncultured bacterium. RNAcentral describes it as "partial 16S ribosomal RNA". It matches the Rfam family "Bacterial small subunit ribosomal RNA", at positions 30 to 507 of the family's 1533-position model. The record is from RNAcentral.